AGGGGCGUGGUGCAACGGCAGCACACCAGCCUUUGGAGCUGUGGAUCUUGGUUCGAGUCCAGGCGCCCCUGCCU
This 74-nucleotide transfer RNA is filed under the name Anaerolineae bacterium. RNAcentral describes it as "tRNA-Gln". It matches the Rfam family "tRNA". Rfam says of the family: Transfer RNA (tRNA) molecules are approximately 80 nucleotides in length. Their secondary structure includes four short double-helical elements and three loops (D, anti-codon, and T loops). Further hydrogen bonds mediate the characteristic L-shaped molecular structure. tRNAs have two regions of fundamental functional importance: the anti-codon, which is responsible for specific mRNA codon recognition, and the 3' end, to which the tRNAs corresponding amino acid is attached (by aminoacyl-tRNA synthetases). tRNAs cope with the degeneracy of the genetic code in two manners: having more than one tRNA (with a specific anti-codon) for a particular amino acid; and 'wobble' base-pairing, i.e. permitting non-standard base-pairing at the 3rd anti-codon position. The record is from RNAcentral. Lineage: Bacteria; Bacillati; Chloroflexota; Anaerolineae.